This 253-nucleotide ribosomal RNA is filed under the name uncultured bacterium. RNAcentral describes it as "partial 16S ribosomal RNA". It matches the Rfam family "Bacterial small subunit ribosomal RNA", at positions 524 to 776 of the family's 1533-position model. The record is from RNAcentral.
UACGUAGGGGGCAAGCGUUGUCCGGAAUUAUUGGGCGUAAAGCGCGCGCAGGCGGUCCUUUAAGUCUGAGGUGAAAGCCCACGGCUCAACCGUGGAGGGGCAUUGGAAACUGGGGGACUUGAGUACAGAAGAGAAGAGUGGAAUUCCACGUGUAGCGGUGAAAUGCGUAGAGAUGUGGAGGAACACCAGUGGCGAAGGCGACUCUUUGGUCUGUAACUGACGCUGAGGCGCGAAAGCGUGGGGAGCAAACAGG